AGCUUCAUGCCUCGAAUAUUUGAAUCCUGAGGGUAUAUUCCAUUGAAAACCUGAGCAUCCAUGCAAAUAAUUAGAGGGUCCCUCCCCCAUAGAGGGAUUGAUCUUACAAAACAUGUUAUUAAGUUGGUCUGCCAGCAAAAGGUGCUCUGAUCUUACUUUGAGUCAACAUAAGGGUGCACAUUUUAGUUUUUGUCACAAAGUACAUAGCCUGGGUUCUCCAUGACAUCAUCCUAUAAAGUAUUAUACAAGUCCUUUUCUGUCUUUUUCCUAUUCUACUUUACACUGUGCUGUGACACAGGGUGAACCAAAGAACUAUGGAGACAGAACUCAGCAUGACCUGAGCCUCAAAAUGUUUUCUUUCCUUUCAGUUACAGGUGGAGCAUAAAAGAUUCAAAUGUUUUUCUUCAAUCUUAAAAAGAUUUCAUAAGAAGAGCCCACGUCCUUGGAAGGAACCUCCAGUUCCUCCAAUUACUUUGAAAGAACCAUCACAACCAAGGAAAAAAGGAAUACAACCCUAAAGAGUACCAAUGUACCUAACAGUCACUUUGGCUCUCACUGAAUAACAUGAACUAGAGGAAAGCCGAGGCCCAUGUUGGAUGAUCCAGUGUGGCUUCACCUGAUUUAGGCAGGACUAGGUGAGCCACUCUCUGUACUACAUACUUUUACCUGUGGGUGAUCCAUUUGGAUUAGAUCUGAUCCAGGUUACAGGUGAAUUAUAUAAAAACCUUGGACAGGGCAGUUGGAGAGAGU
Long non-coding RNA from Grammomys surdaster, 750 nucleotides. RefSeq lists it as uncharacterized. The transcript is spliced from 3 exons. Lineage: Eukaryota; Metazoa; Chordata; Mammalia; Rodentia; Muridae. The record is from RefSeq and is a predicted model, not a curated record.